RNAcentral lists this ribosomal RNA (491 nucleotides) under uncultured bacterium. Its description in RNAcentral is "partial 16S ribosomal RNA". It matches the Rfam family "Bacterial small subunit ribosomal RNA", at positions 29 to 506 of the family's 1533-position model. The record is from RNAcentral.
AGUGAACGCUGGCGGUAGGCCUAACACAUGCAAGUCGAACGGCAGCACAGUAAGAGCUUGCUCUUACGGGUGGCGAGUGGCGGACGGGUGAGGAAUACAUCGGAAUCUACUUUUUCGUGGGGGAUAACGUAGGGAAACUUACGCUAAUACCGCAUACGACCUACGGGUGAAAGCAGGGGAUCUUCGGACCUUGCGCGAUUGAAUGAGCCGAUGUCGGAUUAGCUAGUUGGCGGGGUAAAGGCCCACCAAGGCGACGAUCCGUAGCUGGUCUGAGAGGAUGAUCAGCCACACUGAAAAUGAGACACGUUCCAGGCUCCGACGGGAGGCAGCAGUGGGGAAUAUUGGACAAAGGGAGCAAGCCUGAUCCAGCCAGACCGCGUGGGCGAAGAAGGCCUUCGGGUUGUAAAGCCCUUUUGUUGGGAAAGAAAAGCAGCAGGUUAAUACCCCGCUGUUCUGACGGUACCCAAAGAAUAAGCACCGGCUGACUUCGU